GGGAAUGUGGCUUAGUGGUAGAGUGCUUGCCUUGCAUGCAUGAAGCCCUGGGUUCGAUUCCUCAGCACUA
This 70-nucleotide transfer RNA is filed under the name Dipodomys ordii (Ord's kangaroo rat). It matches the Rfam family "tRNA". From Rfam's summary of the family: Transfer RNA (tRNA) molecules are approximately 80 nucleotides in length. Their secondary structure includes four short double-helical elements and three loops (D, anti-codon, and T loops). The record is from Rfam by way of RNAcentral. Lineage: Eukaryota; Metazoa; Chordata; Mammalia; Rodentia; Heteromyidae.